Molecule: long non-coding RNA, 1909 nt
Filed under: Theobroma cacao (cacao)
Lineage: Eukaryota; Viridiplantae; Streptophyta; Magnoliopsida; Malvales; Malvaceae
Description: long non-coding RNA (TCAC_LNC005642)
Source: RNAcentral
CCGGCCAAACCAAGAGCAAAGAAGAACAAAGGGAGAAAGGAAAAACAAAAACCCUAGGUGGAGAAAUUCAAGGGAAAAUUGGUGAAAAUUUAAGGAAACAAGUGACAAAAGGUAAAAUUUCUUGAUUUUGACUUGUGAUCUACCUUUCCCAUGCAUUUCUCCUCAUUUUUCAAGGUUAAAUUACAUGUUCUCGUGAUGAAUUCAUGGCUGGUUUGAAUGGGUAUGGAGAGAGAAUGAUGUUAGAUUGAUUUGAUUCUAAGUUAUGUUUAUGUUUUUAGUUAGUUAAGCAUGUUUAAAAACAAAACAAUAAGAAAAGAACCCAUUUUCCCCAUGAACCUUCAAUGGUCGAACCUUAUGUGAAGUGUAGAAGUAAUGAAUUGAUUUUGUGAUCAAGUGAAUUGGUUAAAAAAUUGAUGAAAUGAUGAUUUAUGGUGAGAAAAUGGAAUGAAAAUUUUUUUAAUGAUAGUGCACCACAAUGGCCGAAAUUUUCAAGAAGAAUUGUGAGGGUUGUUAGGCUGAAUUUUAGAUUAUUGGAAUUGUAUUUAGUGAAUUGAAAUAUUAGAAAUAAAAUGGAGCAAUUUGGAGCUAAAUCGAACACAAUUGUCAUUUAAUCGGGUAAUAGGCCGAAUUAGGUCAGCACCACAUUUAAGCGGUAGUCGGAUAAGUUGCAUAUCAUAUCAUGCAUAUAAAUUGAUUUUAUAAUGGUCAAGCAUUGAUGUGGUGAAUUAUGUAUUAUACAUUGUGGAUAGAUGGUGAGUAAAUUAUACUAAUAAAAGUACAGAGAUUGUGCUUGGAAACUGAGAUUAGGAGUACAUCGACUCCUAGAACUGUGAGUAAACUUAUUAUCGUCUUAAUUAUCUAGAGUAGUUUUAUACAAUUGUGUGAUUUUAUGAAAAAUGGGUUUAAAUGGUAAAUUGCUAUGUUUUAGGAGAAAUUGUGAUUUUAUAAAAUGAUUUUAUAAAUUUUUUGAAAAAAUUGAAUACUGGUUUUGAAAAUAGAGUAAUUAGAGACUGUCUGCUUGUGUUGUAAAUUUAUGAUUUUAAAUUGAAUGGCUUAUGACAAUAUAUAAGCAUGAAUGGCUAAAUUGAUUUUUGGUGUUAAAUUAUUUGUACUGUGUAUUCAGCCUUGAGAGGCUAGGUUGCGAUAAAUUGCCAUGUCAUGCAGAAAAAGAUUUUAUAAAUCAAGUGGUAGAUAAAAUAAUCCAUAGUCACUGCAGUGGUGGGGGUUUCUGUGGACUGCCUAUGAGAGGGGCGCGGUAACUCAAUUAUAUAUUUACCUUCGGGGGGAGAUGUUGGAUGAAGUAUCUCUUGAGGUAAAGAUUUGAGUGCACUUCACGUGGACCACCGUGUGAAAGUGAGACUCAGCCAAUGCCAAGGCAUGGCUAAAAUUUUCGAUGUAAAGACAUUUAACAGCCUUGACGGACUCGGUUGGGAUAACCUUCGAUCAAGGUAUCCUUGAUAACUGAGUAUGAGAAUGAUUUUUGGUACGAGCUAAGCUUUUCAGGAAAUCAUAAGCCUAGUUGUUUAUUUGGUUGAAAUGAGUUAAAAGGUAAUAAAAUUACAGUAUGAUGACUUAUUUUAAUUCGUCUUCAUUUACUCGCCUUUAGAUAGUUUAGAUGGUGUCUGUUUACUCAUUAGAAUUUUAUAAUCUCACCACCCUCAUUUCCUCACAUUUUAGGCUCGAGGAAUUCCAUAGUUAGCUGACUUUGACAAGGACCUUCAUUUGGACUUGAAUCGGUAAAAGUUGUAGGUUUUCAGCUUCCGAUACAUUUUGGUUAGAUGUGGGCCCACGUGUCGCUGUAAAAGUAAUUUUAUGCUUUGGUUAUUUGCUUUAUAGUAUAUAUAAAUAUAAUUAACUUUCACGCUAUAAGAAUUAUUUACCGAUAGCUUUAUAAAAAAUUGUUUUACAA